AACGCACAUUGCGCCCUCUGGUAUUCCGGGGGGCAUGCCUGUUCGAGCGUCAUUACAACCCUCAAGCUCCGCUUGGUAUUGGGCCGCACCCCCCCCUCCGGGGCGGGGUUGGCCCCAAAGUCAUUGGCGGUGCCCGCUGGACUCCGAGCGCAGUAAUCUUACUCUCGCUUCUGGACGCCGUCACGGCACUCGGCCACAACCCAAACUUUUUCAUACUGGUUGACCUCGGAUCAGGUAGGGAUACCCGCUGAACUUAA
RNAcentral lists this unclassified non-coding RNA (257 nucleotides) under Ascochyta sp. Its description in RNAcentral is "partial contains 5.8S ribosomal RNA, internal transcribed spacer 2, and large subunit ribosomal RNA". The stretch from base 1 to 52 matches the Rfam family "5.8S ribosomal RNA", at positions 103 to 154 of the family's 154-position model. The record is from RNAcentral. Lineage: Eukaryota; Fungi; Ascomycota; Dothideomycetes; Pleosporales; Didymellaceae.